RNAcentral lists this transfer RNA (73 nucleotides) under Perca flavescens (yellow perch). It matches the Rfam family "tRNA". From Rfam's summary of the family: Transfer RNA (tRNA) molecules are approximately 80 nucleotides in length. Their secondary structure includes four short double-helical elements and three loops (D, anti-codon, and T loops). The record is from Rfam by way of RNAcentral. Lineage: Eukaryota; Metazoa; Chordata; Actinopteri; Perciformes; Percidae.
ACUAAAAUAGCUUAGCUGGGAGAGCAUUAGACUGAAUAUUUAAAGGUCCAUGGUUUGAUCCUGGGUUUCAGCA